Molecule: ribosomal RNA, 404 nt
Filed under: uncultured bacterium
Lineage: Bacteria
Description: bacterial SSU rRNA
Rfam family: Bacterial small subunit ribosomal RNA
Source: RNAcentral
GGGCCCGCACAAGCGGUGGAGCAUGUGGUUUAAUUCGAUGAUACGCGAGGAACCUUACCAGGGCUUAAAUGUAGAACGACCGAUUUGGAAACAAGUCCUCUCUUUGAGCGGUCUACAAGGUGCUGCAUGGUUGUCGUCAGCUCGUGCCGUGAGGUGUCGGGUUAAGUCCCUUAACGAGCGCAACCCCUAUCUCUAGUUGCCAGCGGAUAAUGCCGGGGACUCUAGAGAAACUGCCCGCGCAAGCGGUGAGGAAGGCGGGGAUGACGUCAAAUCAUCACGGCCCUUACGUCCUGGGCUACACACGUGCUACAAUGGUCGGUACAAAGGGGCAGCUACCACGUAAGUGGAUGCAAAUCUCUAAAGCCGGUCUCAGUUCGGAUUGAAGUCUGCAACUCGACUUCAUG